UGCUGCUGGCCAGAGCUCUUUUCACAUUGUGCUACUGUCUGCACCUGUCACUAGCAGUGCAAUGUUAAAAGGGCAUUGGCCGUGUAGUG
Molecule: microRNA precursor, 89 nt
Organism: Aotus nancymaae (Ma's night monkey)
Lineage: Eukaryota; Metazoa; Chordata; Mammalia; Primates; Aotidae
Source: Ensembl